Long non-coding RNA from Monodelphis domestica (gray short-tailed opossum), 1374 nucleotides. RefSeq lists it as uncharacterized. Lineage: Eukaryota; Metazoa; Chordata; Mammalia; Didelphimorphia; Didelphidae. The record is from RefSeq and is a predicted model, not a curated record.
AGGAACGAACACAGCAAGCACUGAGCUCCAGCCUCCAGGGCAGGGACCCAGAGAAGAGGAGAGGACUGAGAAAGGGGGAGGGGGAAAGAACAAACAAAGUGGUAGUGUAUACCGGGAGACUCUGGGGGAAGAGUGCAGACAGAACCGUGAGCUUGAGGUCCCGAAGGGAGCUCCCAGACAGGGCUGGGGAGUGUGUGAGCUCCGGGUUUCCCCGGGGGGGGGGGGGGGGGGGGGGAGAAAGCAGGUGGUGCAGGGAGUUUCUCAGGAGGAACCUGAGGGAGGGAGCGCAAAAUCUGUGCCUUAGUGUAUAUCUCAGGAACAAUAACAACAAACAGCGUUUAUUUAGCAUUUUAAGGUCUGAAAAGCACUUCACAUUUCAUCUGAUCCUCGCAACUCUGAAAGAUGGACAGCAUCAGAGAACCUUUCCAGCGUGGAGAUGAAUAUAAAUCCAUUCUCACUUCAUAUAGAGCUGUCACAUCUGGAGACCUCUACUUACCAUGUUGGCAGGUGACUCCAAAUUAUGAUCUUAAGUCUCAGGAGCUUAAGAUCUCAUACUUCAUCUCACUUCAAAAGACUCAUGAUUUCACCAGUGUGGGAACGCGCUCAACAGACAGAUAUCACAACCUCUCCACUGCCUCAGUAGACAUCCUCCCGAGUUGCCAAGUUCCAAAAAUGUAUUCCUUAGUGGCUGACCCUAAGGUAAUGAGCCUCUCUGCACUUUGGAGAGACUCUUAAAAGACAGAUGAAGCCUAAGACCUGCCAGAGUUAUACUGGAUCAGCUCACAGCUUCCAAAAACCCAGGGUCAAAUAUUGGACCUGGAGAAGAGAUGAGGAAAUGCCUCUCCUGACUUGUGGGAGAAGUAGGAGACUGUCAGUGUGCAAUGUUGUUGGGGCUGCCAGAUUGGUCAAUGUGUUAGCUGAUUUUCCUUAACUGUUUUUAUCUUUGUUACAAAGGAACUCUCAUUGGAGGAUCAGGGAAGAGAACAGCCAGAAAUAGCAAAAGACAUGACAGAAGGAGAAGGAAGAGAAAGAGGAGAAAAAGAAGAACCCAAACAACGAUGGGCUGGCUAUUGGACAAACACAUGAGACAAAAAGCCUUCAAACUAUAUCUAAAUGGUUCCUUUUUCCUUUCUUUUUGCCCUUCCUAGAAUGCAUCCCCUCCUUACAUUUGCCUCAUGGAAUUUCUCACUUUCUUCAAGACUCUGCUCAGGCAGCAGCACUUUCUAAGUGAAGCCUUUACUGAUCCCUUUCACCCCCACAAAGAGCUGGAGGUCUCUUUCCCUAACUACCUUGUCUUUAUUUUGUAUUUAUUCUAAAUAGGCUUAUUCCUUAUAUGUACACAUUGCCUCUACCAAUAAAACAUGAGCUCUUUGA